CCCGCACAAGCAGCGGAGCGUGUGGUUUAAUUCGAUGCAACGCGAAGAACCUUACCAAGGCUUGACAUGCUAGAAGUAGAACCUUGAAAGAGUGACGACCUGUAUCCAAUCAGGAGCUAGUACAGGUGCUGCAUGGCUGUCGUCAACUCGUGCCGUGAGGUGUUAGGUUAAGUCCUGCAACGAGCGCAACCCUUGUCGUUAGUUAAAUUUUCUCUAGCGAGACUGCCCUUUAUUGGGAGGAAGGUGAGGAUGACGUCAAGUCAGCAUGGCCUUUAUGCCUUGGGCUACACACACGCUACAAUGGGUGAUACAGAGGGUCGCUAUAGAGCAAUCUGGAGCUAAUCCCUAAAAUCAUCCUCAGUUCAGAUUGCAGGCUGAAACCGCCUGCAUGAAGGAGGAGUUGCUAGUAACCGCAGGUCAGCACACUGCGGUGAAUACGUUCUCGGGUCUU
RNAcentral lists this ribosomal RNA (451 nucleotides) under uncultured Chloroflexota bacterium. RNAcentral describes it as "bacterial SSU rRNA". It matches the Rfam family "Bacterial small subunit ribosomal RNA", at positions 920 to 1382 of the family's 1533-position model. Lineage: Bacteria; Bacillati; Chloroflexota. The record is from RNAcentral.